This 208-nucleotide ribosomal RNA is filed under the name uncultured bacterium. Its description in RNAcentral is "partial 16S ribosomal RNA". It matches the Rfam family "Bacterial small subunit ribosomal RNA", at positions 568 to 774 of the family's 1533-position model. The record is from RNAcentral.
CGCGUAGGUGGUUCGUUAAGUUGGAUGUGAAAUCCCCGGGCUCAACCUGGGAACUGCAUUCAAAACUGACGAGCUAGAGUAUGGUAGAGGGUGGUGGAAUUUCCUGUGUAGCGGUGAAAUGCGUAGAUAUAGGAAGGAACACCAGUGGCGAAGGCGACCACCUGGACUGAUACUGACACUGAGGUGCGGAAAGCGUGGGGAGCAAACA